This 97-nucleotide non-coding RNA is filed under the name bovine gut metagenome. RNAcentral's name for it is "TPP riboswitch (THI element)". The stretch from base 3 to 87 matches the Rfam family "TPP riboswitch aptamer (THI element)", at positions 9 to 90 of the family's 105-position model. From Rfam's summary of the family: Vitamin B(1) in its active form thiamin pyrophosphate (TPP) is an essential coenzyme that is synthesised by coupling of pyrimidine and thiazole moieties in bacteria. The previously detected thiamin-regulatory element, thi box was extended, resulting in a new, highly conserved RNA secondary structure, the THI element, which is widely distributed in eubacteria and also occurs in some archaea. Analysis of operon structures identified a large number of new candidate thiamin-regulated genes, mostly transporters, in various prokaryotic organisms. The record is from RNAcentral.
AGACAGGGGAGCUUGUGGACAGGCUGAGAGGAAGUUUUAUUAACUUCGACCCUUUUACCUGAUGCGGAUAAUGCCGCCGUAGGAAGUGUGAUUAUGC